GCUCCCAGUUCUGCCAUCCCACCUGGAACUGCUGCAGCUUCUCCUCCUGAAGUGUGGCUGAAAUGGGGCCAGAGCCCAGGAGGAGAAACCCCGAGUUCCUCAGGGAGAGCCUCUAGAGCUGAUCCUGUUAGCCCAGUCCCUCAGCCCAGUUUGUUCCCCAUUAUCCCAGUUUGUUCCCCAUUAUCCCAGUCCCUCAUCCUGGUUUGUUCCCCAUUAUCCCGGUCCCUGAUCCUGGCACCUAUUCCCAGUUAUCCCACUCUCUAUUCCCAAUUCCCCCAGUCUCCAUUCCCAGUCUCCCACUCCCCAUUCCCAGUUCUCCCAUUCCCACUCCCCAUUCUCAUUCCCAGUUAUCCCCAUUCCCAGUUCCCCCACUCCCCAUUCCCAGUUAUCCCCCUCCCCACUCCUACUCCCCAUUCCCAGUUAUCCUCCUCCCAUUCCCAGUUACCCCACUCCCCAUUCCCACUCCCCAUUCCCAACUCCCCAUUCCCAGUUAUCCCCCUCCCUAUUGCCACUCCCCAUUCCCAGUUAUCCCGCUCCCCAUUCCCUUUCCCAGUUAUCCCCUUCCCCAUUCCCACUCCCCAUUCCCAUUCCCAGUUAUCCCACUCCCCAUUCCCACUCCCCAUUCCCAUUCCCAGUUAUCCCACUCCCCAUUCCCACUCCCCAUUCCCAUUCCCAGUUAUCCCACUCCCCAUUCCCACUCCCCAUUCCCAUUCCCAGUUAUCCCACUCCCCAUUCCCACUCCCCAUUCCCAUUCCCAGUUAUCCCACUCCCCAUUCCCACUCCCCAUUCCCAUUCCCAGUUAUCCCACUCCCCAUUCCCACUCCCCAUUCCCAUUCCCAGUUAUCCCACUCCCCAUUCCCACUCCCCAUUCCCAUUCCCAGUUAUCCCACUCCCCAUUCCCACUCCCCAUUCCCAUUCCCAGUUAUCCCACUCCCCAUUCCCACUCCCCAUUCCCAUUCCCAGUUAUCCCACUCCCCAUUCCCACUCCCCAUUCCCAUUCCCAGUUAUCCCACUCCCCAUUCCCACUCCCCAUUCCCAUUCCCAGUUAUCCCACUCCCCAUUCCCACUCCCCAUUCCCAUUCCCAGUUAUCCCCCUCCCCACUCCUACUCCCCAUUCCCAUUCCCAGUUAUCUCACUCCCCAUUCCCACUCCCCAUUCCCAUUCCCAGUUAUCCCCCUCCCCACUCCUACUCCCCAUUCCCAGUUAUCCUCCUCCCAUUCCCAGUUACCCCACUCCCCAUUCCCACUCCCCAUUCCCAACUCCCCAUUCCCAGUUAUCCCCCUCCCUAUUGCCACUCCCCAUUCCCAGUUAUCCCGCUCCCCAUUCCCUUUCCCAGUUAUCCCCUUCCCCAUUCCCACUCCCCAUUCCCAUUCCCAGUUAUCCCACUUCCCAUUCCCACUCCCCAUUCCCAGUUAUCCCAUUUCCCAUUCCCACUCCCCAUUCCCAUUCCCAGUUAUCCCACUUCCCAUUCCCACUCCCCAUUCCCAGUUAUCCCAUUUCCCAUUCCCACUCCCCAUUCCCAUUCCCAGUUAUCCCACUUCCCAUUCCCACUCCCCAUUCCCAGUUAUCCCAUUUCCCAUUCCCACUCCCCAUUCCCAUUCCCAGUUAUCCCACUUCCCAUUCCCACUCCCCAUUCCCAGUUAUCCCAUUUCCCAUUCCCACUCCCCAUUCCCAUUCCCAGUUAUCCCACUUCCCAUUCCCACUCCCCAUUCCCAGUUAUCCCAUUUCCCAUUCCCACUCCCCAUUCCCAUUCCCAGUUAG
Long non-coding RNA from Ficedula albicollis (Collared flycatcher), 1761 nucleotides. NCBI's taxonomy places the organism in Eukaryota, Metazoa, Chordata, Aves, Passeriformes, Muscicapidae. The record is from Ensembl.